This 432-nucleotide ribosomal RNA is filed under the name uncultured bacterium. RNAcentral's name for it is "partial 16S ribosomal RNA". It matches the Rfam family "Bacterial small subunit ribosomal RNA", at positions 29 to 506 of the family's 1533-position model. The record is from RNAcentral.
AACGAACGCUGGCGGCAUGCCUAACACAUGCGAGUCGAACGAGACCUUCGGGUCUAGUGGCGCACGGGUGCGUAACGCGUGGGAACCUGCCUUUAGGUUCGGAAUAACUCAGAGAAAUUUGAGCUAAUACCGGAUGAUGUCUUCGGACCAAAGAUUUAUCGCCUUUAGAUGGGCCCGCGUUGGAUUAGCUAGUUGGUGGGGUAAAGGCCUACCAAGGCGACGAUCCAUAGCUGGUCUGAGAGGAUGAUCAGCCACACUGGGACUGAGACACGGCCCAGACUCCUACGGGAGGCAGCAGUGGGGAAUAUUGGACAAUGGGCGAAAGCCUGAUCCAGCAAUGCCGCGUGAGUGAUGAAGGCCUUAGGGUUGUAAAGCUCUUUUACCCGAGAUGAUAAUGACAGUAUCGGGAGAAUAAGCUCCGGCUAACUCCGU